CCUACGGGAGGCAGCAGUGAGGAAUAUUGGUCAAUGGACGGAAGUCUGAACCAGCCAUGCCGCGUGCAGGAAGACGGCGCGAUGAGUUGUAAACUGCUGUUGUACAAGGGUAAACCGGAAUACGUGUAUGCAGCUGAAAGUACGGUACGAAUAAGGAUCGGCUAACUCCGUGCCAGCAGCCGCGGUAAUACGGAGGAUCCAAGCGUUAUCCGGAUUUAUUGGGGUUAAAGGGUGCGUAGGCGGAUUGAUAAGUUAGAGGUGAAAUGUCAGAGCUGAACUCGGGAACUGCCUCUAAGACUUUUGAUCUAGUGCGUAGGUGCGGUAGGCGGAAUGUCUGGUGUAGCGG
RNAcentral lists this ribosomal RNA (346 nucleotides) under uncultured bacterium. RNAcentral describes it as "partial 16S ribosomal RNA". It matches the Rfam family "Bacterial small subunit ribosomal RNA", at positions 338 to 681 of the family's 1533-position model. The record is from RNAcentral.